GGCGGUAAAUUUAUUUUUAGAGGAGCUUGCUUUUUAAUUGACUUUACUCCUUAAAUUUAACUUUGUAAAGUUUGUUUAUCUCCGUUAUUAGAAUAAAGUAUUUAUUUAUAUUUAAAAAUAUUAUUUCAGGUCAAGAUGCAGCAUUAUAAAGGUAUGGUGAGCUACAUUUUAGUAUAGUUAGAUUUAUUGAUUAAUUUAAUAAUGAAAAUGGAUUUAGAAGUAAUUUUUUUUAGAAUUAAAAGGUGAAUUUGUAUAAUUUAUGUACACAUC
This 270-nucleotide ribosomal RNA is filed under the name Gnomulus sp. 2 PS-2009. Its description in RNAcentral is "partial 12S ribosomal RNA". The record is from RNAcentral. Lineage: Eukaryota; Metazoa; Arthropoda; Arachnida; Opiliones; Sandokanidae.